CGUAGAGGAAAUUUAAAGGAAAGACCAUGUUAGCCCUGGCCAUCUGCAGUGGCAGGGGCUCCAAUUACAGCGCGCAGUCACAUCUGCUCGCUGACUGUGCUAAUCAACUCUUUUGGAGCCUCCCAGGACCAAUGCAGGCCGUCUUUCUUUUCAAGUCCUCCGUGCAAUUGCAGAAAGAAUCCAGAUGCCAGAAGAAUACACUCAUAAUUGUGGGAGACCAGGCACUGCUGGAAAAGAUGAAUGUAUUUGGGGGAGCAUGGGUCUUGAAAUCACAUUCCUAAGGAACAAUUUUAAAAUGAAAUACCAAACUGUCUGGUAGAGCAGUUGCUGCCAUGUGCAAAGAUUUCUGUGUGACCCAUGAGCUGCUGU
Molecule: long non-coding RNA, 369 nt
Organism: Perognathus longimembris pacificus (Pacific pocket mouse)
Lineage: Eukaryota; Metazoa; Chordata; Mammalia; Rodentia; Heteromyidae
Exons: 3
Source: RefSeq, a predicted model, not a curated record